This 312-nucleotide unclassified non-coding RNA is filed under the name Hevea brasiliensis (rubber tree). Lineage: Eukaryota; Viridiplantae; Streptophyta; Magnoliopsida; Malpighiales; Euphorbiaceae. The record is from RNAcentral.
CCGGGUGGUCGCGCCGCACGACAAGGCCGCGGCGAUCCCGCUUGUCGAUGAGCGCGUCAAGGAAGGCGCGACCGUCAAGGUCGGCAACCUCCGUGCGCGCGUGCUCGAAACCCCCGGACAUACGCUCGAUCACAUUAGCUAUGUGUUCGACGAGGACCGCGCACUGUUCUGCGCCGACACCCUGUUCUCGAUCGGCUGCGGCCGCGUGUUCGAGGGCACCUAUCCGAUGAUGUGGGAAUCGCUGCUGAAGCUGCGCGCUCUGCCGAAUGACAUGCGCGUUUAUUGCGGUCACGAAUAUACCGCGUCCAACGU